Molecule: ribosomal RNA, 515 nt
Filed under: uncultured bacterium
Lineage: Bacteria
Description: partial 16S ribosomal RNA
Rfam family: Bacterial small subunit ribosomal RNA
Source: RNAcentral
GAUGAACGCUGGCGGCGUGCCUAAUACAUGCAAGUCGAGCGAAUGGAUUAAGAGCUUGCUCUUAUGAAGUUAGCGGCGGACGGGUGAGUAACACGUGGGUAACCUGCCCAUAAGACUGGGAUAACUCCGGGAAACCGGGGCUAAUACCGGAUAAUAUUUUGAACUGCAUGGUUCAAAAUUGAAAGGCGGCUUCGGCUGUCACUUAUGGAUGGACCCGCGUCGCAUUAGCUAGUUGGUGAGGUAACGGCUCACCAAGGCAACGAUGCGUAGCCGGCCGGAGAGGGUGAUCGGCCACACUGGGACUGAGACACGGCCCAGACUCCUACGGGAGGCAGCAGUAGGGAAUCUUCCGCAAUGGACGAAAGUCUGACGGAGCAACGCCGCGUGGGUGAUGAAGGCUUUCGGGUCGUAAAACUCUGUUGUUAGGGAAGAACAAGUGCUAGUUGAAUAAGCUGGCACCUUGACGGUACCUAACCAGAAAGCCACGGCUAACUACGUGCCAGCAGCCGCCGCCG